AUGGCUAAUAAUAAUGCUACUGUGUAUGGGACAGAGCAUGGUACAGACAUAAAUAGCAAAUACUCAAAGUGGUAUAAGAAUGAUUUGAAUAUAUAUUUAAGAAAUAUAAUAUGUAAUAGAAUAAUAAAAGGGAAUACAUCUAUUGAUGUUAUAUAUAUUAAAAAUCCACUGAAACAUGUUAGAAAGUAUAAUUUAUAUACUUCCUUUUUUACAGUAUUAUAUAGUGGAUUAAUAUUUAUGUUAAAUGAUGAAAGUGAAUUAAUAAGAUAUAGAAUUAUUGUUAUAUUAUUAAAUUUUAUGAAAAACAAAUCAUUAAAUAUAAGUAAAAAUAUAAAAAGUGUGAUAUGUACCGAAUAUUUUAUUUAUUAUAUAUCUAAUUUUUUUAAUAAUAUAACCUUAAAUAUUUUAACUUUUUGUAUUUAUCAAACGAAAAGUUAUAUUAAAAAUUAUAGUUUAUAUUACAAUCCUAUAAAAUUGUUUGAUCAAGAAAAAUAUAACUUAUAUAUAAACAAUGUAUUAUUAAAUCAUAUGUUUUUGUUUUAUUAUAUGUAUAACAUUAUUCAAAUGAAUAAGAAAAAAUGCUUUUUAUGUUUAAAAUACACGGACGUUGACAGCAAUAUGAAUAAUAUAUGUAAAAAAUGUAGUGUCUAUGAUGAAGGACAGUUGUCUGGUAGCAAUUAUACACUUUGGGAGAACAUAUCUAGGAUAGAUAGUAAGUUGGUUAUUCACAGUAACGGUAGAAGGAUCAAAACUAAUAAUAUAAAUAAAGUAACAAAUGUUGAAAAAUAUGAUAAUUUUGACUAUUACGACUACCAUAGUAAACAAAAAAAACUCGACUUUUACAUUUUUCUCGAUUCCAUGAGUAACCAAAAAAAGGAAAUAUUAGUAUCUAAAGAUAUAACAGUUUCAAAUAUAUAUAUGUUAAAAAAUUGCAAAUACGAUUUAUCUAUAUUAAGAUAUUGGAGGACAUGGAAGAACAUUAUAAAUAAGUUAAAAAUAAAAAGAGAUAGUUGUAAGCAUAAGCAUGGUAAGUUUGUAAAUAAUAUAGAACAGUCAUUUAUUAUAACAUUUUUAUCAUCUAUGAAAAUGAGAUACGUUGAAAAAAUUAAAAAAAGUUUAAAUAUAUAUUUACAACUAUUAUGUUAUAAUACAAAUAUAGAUUUCUUUGAUUGUAAUUUUAUUAUAUGUUUAAAUAAUUUAUUCAAUAAAAUAGUACUACUUUUAAUUAACCUAUAUAUAUUUUUUCAUAAAAAUGUGAUGUUAUAUUAUAACAGUUAUUUUUAUUAUGAAAUAAAAGAUAUACACGAGAAAUGCAUACGAAUUUGCAACAUUUUUGAAUCAACAAAAAAUCAAAUUAACCCAUUUUUGUUGAAAACUUUAAAGUUAUUAUUAGUUCUAUUGUAUGGUAGUAUGUAUAUAAAAAAUAGAAGUUUUUUUUUUGACAUAUACACAUUAUUAUAUUCUUUAAAGUGUUCGAUCUAG
Molecule: long non-coding RNA, 1482 nt
Filed under: Piliocolobus tephrosceles (Ugandan red Colobus)
Lineage: Eukaryota; Metazoa; Chordata; Mammalia; Primates; Cercopithecidae
Description: lncRNA (ENSPTEG00000023370.1)
Source: RNAcentral